GAUGAAGAACGCAGCGAAAUGCGAUAAGUAAUGUGAAUUGCAGAAUUCAGUGAAUCAUCGAAUCUUUGAACGCACAUUGCGCCCGCCAGUAUUCUGGCGGGCAUGCCUGUCCGAGCGUCAUUUCAACCCUCGAACCCCUCCGGGGGUCCGGCGUUGGGGAUCGGGAACCCCUAAGACGGGAUCCCGGCCCCGAAAUACAGUGGCGGUCUCGCCGCAGCCUCUCAUGCGCAGUAGUUUGCACAACUCGCACCGGGAGCGCGGCGCGUCCACGUCCGUAAAACACCCAACUUCUGAAAUGUUGACCUCGGAUCAGGUAGGAAUACCCGCUGAACUUAAGCAUAUCAAUAACGGAGGA
This 355-nucleotide unclassified non-coding RNA is filed under the name soil metagenome. RNAcentral describes it as "partial contains 5.8S ribosomal RNA, internal transcribed spacer 2, and large subunit ribosomal RNA". The stretch from base 1 to 120 matches the Rfam family "5.8S ribosomal RNA", at positions 35 to 154 of the family's 154-position model. The record is from RNAcentral.